Ceratotherium simum simum (southern white rhinoceros) is the source of this 518-nucleotide non-coding RNA. The record is from RefSeq and is a predicted model, not a curated record. Lineage: Eukaryota; Metazoa; Chordata; Mammalia; Perissodactyla; Rhinocerotidae.
CUGAGGUUUUUUUGUUUUUUUCUGUCUUUUUUUUUUUCCCCUUAAGUCAGUUUGGACUUUUCUUCCAGGCAGCAUUUUGGAGGGGGGAAGGCUGUACUAUAUAUUUAUUUCUAAAUGUUUUGACAGAGACUUCAUCUUUUAAUGAAAUAUAUAUAGACUGCAGUAGCAAUUAAAACCCAUUUUCAGGCUACUGUUUGAAUUUCUUUUGAACACUAUCACGGAAGAGUUCUAUCUUAUUAUAUACUUAAUAAAGUCUUGUCUCCAUAUAGUAUUUAGUUUCGUGUGGUCAUGAUCAAGGUGGUAAUUCUUAUUAUUACACAAGAAACUUGGUCUGCAGUCCAAAAACCAGUCUACUCUCUGUAGAAAUGAAAAUGUAGUGUGGAGUUAUCAUUGUGGAAGUGAAAAUAAUUGGAUGUUAGAAAUCUGAAUGUACUAUCAUCUAAAAGCAGUUGUGAUUUUAUUGUAAUUGGUUGUCACUGUGAUGCGAUAUCUAGAAUUAAAGAAUACAUGUAAACUUU